AUGCUACCAACAAACCCCACCAAGGAGGCCGCCCGCGCCGCCGCGCUCGCCAGGAGCUGGCGCCACAAGUUCGCCCACGUCCACGCCAUCUCCUUCGUGGAGCACGUCGCCCGCUAUGGCCCAAGCGAGGACGACUACACCUUCUUCGUGGACUCCGUGGAGCGCCGGAGCAAGAACGGGCCGCUCCUCGACAACAUCAACGCGGCGCUUCUCUGCGCCGGCGAUCGCAACGCGGCGCCGCGUGCCUUCCGCGUCCAGUUCGGCUGCUACGACAACUGGGACAAGGCCAUGGUGAGCCAGUGGCUCACCCACCUGCUGCGCCGGACCCCGCCGGAGCUCCACCUCGACCUCCGCCUCCAGAUCACCGUCAUCGGCGAGCAUCAGGUUGGCGCCCGCGACAGGGCGGACCACGGCUGCACCGCGCACAGCCCCUACGAUGCGGAUCCGUUCAUGCUGCCGGCAAGGCUCUUCUCUCCUGCGUCGCCCUACGGACGCUCUGCCUCGGCGGCUGCGCUCUGGAUCCGCCGGAGGUCACCCGCCUGCCUCUCCUCGAGACGUUGCUCCUGA
RNAcentral lists this ribosomal RNA (567 nucleotides) under Triticum aestivum (bread wheat). RNAcentral describes it as "partial small subunit ribosomal RNA". The record is from RNAcentral. Lineage: Eukaryota; Viridiplantae; Streptophyta; Magnoliopsida; Poales; Poaceae.